Molecule: ribosomal RNA, 254 nt
Filed under: uncultured bacterium
Lineage: Bacteria
Description: partial 16S ribosomal RNA
Rfam family: Bacterial small subunit ribosomal RNA
Source: RNAcentral
UACGGGGGGAGCAAGCGUUGUUCGGAUUUACUGGGCGUAAAGGGCGCGUAGGCGGUCAGCACAAGUCAGUUGUGAAAUCUCCGGGCUUAACUCGGAAAGGUCAACUGAUACUGUGCGACUAGAGUGCGGAAGGGGCAACUGGAAUUCCUGGUGUAGCGGUGGAAUGCGCAGAUAUCAGGAGGAACACCGGUGGCGAAGGCGGGAUCCUGGGCCAGUACUGACGCUGAGGAGCGAAAGCGUGGGGAGCAAACAGG